GCAGAACUUAAUGGGACAGAAACAAAAUACAACAGUGCCCAAAAAUUAGAAACAAAUAAAUAAAAGCCAGCCUCAGACUCAUAGGGGGGAAAACUAUGAGAAGCGUUCGAUAACAAACUGCAAUCGUAUAUGAAUGGAUGAAUGAAUCAAAAUUAAUGUGAAUUGGUUUUUCAGUUCACAAAUUUUGUAGAUGUGCCACUUAGAUAAAACCUAAAUUAUGCGGCUUAUUCUAAAAUUUGAGUUUGUGAAUUGAUCUGUCAAUGCAG
Molecule: unclassified non-coding RNA, 266 nt
Filed under: Hevea brasiliensis (rubber tree)
Lineage: Eukaryota; Viridiplantae; Streptophyta; Magnoliopsida; Malpighiales; Euphorbiaceae
Source: RNAcentral